GACCCGGAAACUCGCUCACCAUGGCUACGACAGUGUGCCUCCCUGUUGGUUAAAAUCCCCGGCCAUAUCCACAGUGCUGAAGACUGUGUGAAGUGCCAGACAUGCUAUUCUGAAUUUGCCACUUGCUAGCUGUUGACCUGAGCGGAUCCAUCACCCUCUCCGAGCUGCUGUUUCCCUCCUCUGCAGUCUGGACUGCACUGGCGAGAAGGAGGAUUAAACAAGCCUGGUGUUUCCGGUAGCGCAGUCCCUGGACCAUAACGGGCGCAUCAUUUGCAUCCUCUAUCGGCUUUGCCAUCUAAACACAGUUUUGAGUACAGUACACUUCUAUCAUCCAUUUGAAGCCCUGUUUGGGUCAACUCCCCAUCUGCCACGCGCUUCCCUGCUCUAUGAAUUAGGGCUAAGUUAGCUGCAGGAACAGAAAUGGAUUCCCAGUGGCUUCACUAGAGAGAAGAGCCUGUCUUUUGCAGCAGACACAGCUGCCCAGGAGCAACACUGAAGGUCAGCUCCUUGCGACUCCUUCCUCCACUCUCUGGUGGAGCCCUCCUCCCAGGAGUGAGGGAUGUGGAUGCUCUACGCACAGCCCCUUGAAGAUCCAUUAGCCUUUUGUGCACACUGGCUGCUGGGAUGUUUUCCCAUUGGACAAGCUGCAGUCUGUGGCUGUUUGUUAAACCCUCCCAAGGCUGCUGGAGCCUUGUGUGUCUACGAAGGGGAGAGCCAAAGUAAGAGCAUCACUUGUUUCUGCAGUUGCCCUGUGGGCUUUGCCCACUGCUACAUUCUCAUGAGCCUCUUCUCUUUCUGGCGCGCGCGCACACACACACACACACACACACACACACACACACACACACACACACGACCCCAGGAAACACUUUAAAAUCAGCACCAUCAAAUGAAUCUUUAUGACAAGAUUCUUCCUGGGGUAACCCAAGCA
Molecule: long non-coding RNA, 931 nt
Organism: Mus musculus (house mouse)
Lineage: Eukaryota; Metazoa; Chordata; Mammalia; Rodentia; Muridae
Product: predicted gene, 53202
Exons: 3
Source: RefSeq, a predicted model, not a curated record